RNAcentral lists this transfer RNA (73 nucleotides) under Deltaproteobacteria bacterium. Its description in RNAcentral is "tRNA-Lys". It matches the Rfam family "tRNA". Rfam says of the family: Transfer RNA (tRNA) molecules are approximately 80 nucleotides in length. Lineage: Bacteria; Pseudomonadati; Myxococcota; Myxococcia. The record is from RNAcentral. RNAcentral also lists the same sequence under 2 other names.
GAGCCAGUAGCUCAGUCGGUAGAGCAUCGGACUUUUAAUCCGGUGGUCGAGGGUUCGAGUCCCUCCUGGCUCA